Molecule: ribosomal RNA, 656 nt
Filed under: uncultured Acidobacteriota bacterium
Lineage: Bacteria; Pseudomonadati; Acidobacteriota
Description: SSU rRNA
Rfam family: Bacterial small subunit ribosomal RNA
Source: RNAcentral
CAGCUAGUUGGCAGGGUAAGAGCCUACCAAGGCAUAGAUCGGUAGCCGGCCUGAGAGGGCACACGGCCACACUGGCACUGAAACACGGGCCAGACUCCUACGGGAGGCAGCAGUGGGGAAUCUUGCACAAUGGGGGAAACCCUGAUGCAGCGACGCCGUGUGAGCGAUGAAGCCCUUCGGGGUGUAAAGCUCUUUCGGCAGGGAAGAUAGUGACGGUACCUGCAGAAGCAGCUGCGGCUAACUACGUGCCAGCAGCCGCGGUAAUACGUAGGCAGCGAGCGUUGUUCGGAGUUACUGGGCGUAAAGGGUGUGUAGGCGGUUGUUUAAGUUUGGUGUGAAAUCUCCCGGCUCAACUGGGAGGGUGCGCCGAAUACUGAGCGACUAGAGUGCGGGAGAGGAAAGUGGAAUUCCUGGUGUAGCGGUGAAAUGCGUAGAUAUCAGGAGGAACACCGGUGGUGUAGACGGCUUUCUGGACCGUAACUGACGCUGAGACACGAAAGCGUGGGUAGCAAACAGGAUUAGAUACCCUGGUAGUCCACGCCCUAAACGAUGCAUAUUUGGUGUGGGCAGUUCAUUCUGUCCGUGCCGGAGCUAACGCGUUAAAUAUGCCGCCUGGGGAGUACAGUCGCAAGGCUGAAACUCAAAGGAAUUGACGG